RNAcentral lists this ribosomal RNA (248 nucleotides) under uncultured bacterium. RNAcentral's name for it is "partial small subunit ribosomal RNA". It matches the Rfam family "Bacterial small subunit ribosomal RNA", at positions 26 to 286 of the family's 1533-position model. The record is from RNAcentral.
AGAAUCAACGCUGGCGGCGUGCCUAACACAUGCAAGUCGAACGAGAAAAGGGUAGCAAUACCCUGAGUAAAGUAGCGCACGGGUGAGUAACACGUGACUAACCUACCCUUGAGUGGGGGAUAACUGAGGGAAACCUUAGCUAAUACCGCAUAAUACCCACGGGUCAAAGGAGCAAUUCGCUCGAGGAGGGGGUCGCGGCCGAUUAGUUAGUUGGCGGGGUAAUGGCCCACCAAGACGAUGAUCGGUAU